Molecule: unclassified non-coding RNA, 186 nt
Filed under: uncultured Piloderma
Lineage: Eukaryota; Fungi; Basidiomycota; Agaricomycetes; Atheliales; Atheliaceae
Description: sequence contains ITS2
Source: RNAcentral
AAUUCUCAACCCCGAAUCUUUUUCGGGGCUUGGACUUUGGAGUGUGCUGGCGUCCAGUCGGCUCCUCUCAAAUGCAUUGGCGGAAUUGAACCUUUGGUGUCUGUACGUCAGUGUGAUAAUCAACGUUGCGCUGUCAUCGGUCAUCGAAGUCCGCUUACAAUGGUCUUCGGACAAACCCUUCAUCAA